This 1436-nucleotide ribosomal RNA is filed under the name Salmonella enterica subsp. enterica serovar Paratyphi B var. L(+) tartrate +. Its description in RNAcentral is "partial 23S ribosomal RNA". It matches the Rfam family "Bacterial large subunit ribosomal RNA", at positions 90 to 1566 of the family's 2925-position model. The record is from RNAcentral. Lineage: Bacteria; Pseudomonadati; Pseudomonadota; Gammaproteobacteria; Enterobacterales; Enterobacteriaceae.
AUGAACCGUUAUAACCGGCGAUACCCGAAUGGGGAAACCCAGUGUGAUUCGUCACACUAUCAUUAACUGAAUCCAUAGGUUAAUGAGGCGAACCGGGGGAACUGAAACAUCUAAGUACCCCGAGGAAAAGAAAUCAACCGAGAUUCCCCCAGUAGCGGCGAGCGAACGGGGAGGAGCCCAGAGCCUGAAUCAGCAUGUGUGUUAGUGGAAGCGUCUGGAAAGGCGCGCGAUACAGGGUGACAGCCCCGUACACAAAAGCGCAUGUGUUGUGAGCUCGAUGAGUAGGGCGGGACACGUGGUAUCCUGUCUGAAUAUGGGGGGACCAUCCUCCAAGGCUAAAUACUCCUGACUGACCGAUAGUGAACCAGUACCGUGAGGGAAAGGCGAAAAGAACCCCGGCGAGGGGAGUGAAAAAGAACCUGAAACCGUGUACGUACAAGCAGUGGGAGCACAGGUUUACCUGUGUGACUGCGUACCUUUUGUAUAAUGGGUCAGCGACUUAUAUUCUGUAGCAAGGUUAACCGAAUAGGGGAGCCGGAGGGAAACCGAGUCUUAAUUGGGCGUUAAGUUGCAGGGUAUAGACCCGAAACCCGGUGAUCUAGCCAUGGGCAGGUUGAAGGUUGGGUAACACUAACUGGAGGACCGAACCGACUAAUGUUGAAAAAUUAGCGGAUGACCUGUGGCUGGGGGUGAAAGGCCAAUCAAACCGGGAGAUAGCUGGUUCUCCCCGAAAGCUAUUUAGGUAGCGCCUCGUGAAUUCAUCUCCGGGGGUAGAGCACUGUUUCGGCUAGGGGGCCAUCCCGGCUUACCAACCCGAUGCAAACUGCGAAUACCGGAGAAUGUUAUCACGGGAGACACACGGCGGGUGCUAACGUCCGUCGUGAAGAGGGAAACAACCCAGACCGCCAGCUAAGGUCCCAAAGUCAUGGUUAAGUGGGAAACGAUGUGGGAAGGCCCAGACAGCCAGGAUGUUGGCUUAGAAGCAGCCAUCAUUUAAAGAAAGCGUAAUAGCUCACUGGUCGAGUCGGCCUGCGCGGAAGAUGUAACGGGGCUAAACCAUGCACCGAAGCUGCGGCAGCGACGCUUAUGCGUUGUUGGGUAGGGGAGCGUUCUGUAAGCCUGUGAAGGUGUGUCGUGAGGCAUGCUGGAGGUAUCAGAAGUGCGAAUGCUGACAUAAGUAACGAUAAAGCGGGUGAAAAGCCCGCUCGCCGGAAGACCAAGGGUUCCUGUCCAACGUUAAUCGGGGCAGGGUGAGUCGACCCCUAAGGCGAGGCCGAAAGGCGUAGUCGAUGGGAAACGGGUUAAUAUUCCCGUACUUGGUGUUACUGCGAAGGGGGGACGGAGAAGGCUAUGUUGGCCGGGCGACGGUUGUCCCGGUUUAAGCGUGUAGGUGUGUGUUCCAGGUAAAUCCGGUUCACUUUAACACUGAGGCGUGA